This 372-nucleotide ribosomal RNA is filed under the name Dasyscorpiops grandjeani. RNAcentral's name for it is "partial large subunit ribosomal RNA". The record is from RNAcentral. Lineage: Eukaryota; Metazoa; Arthropoda; Arachnida; Scorpiones; Euscorpiidae.
AUCAUUAGUCUCUUAAUUUGGGACUGGAAUGAAUGGUUCAACUUCCUUUUUUUGUCUCAUUUUUAUAUUUUGAAUUUUAUAUUUUAGUAAAAAAGCUAAAAUUAUCUUUUUAGACGAGAAGACCCUAUCAAGCUUUAUAAUCAAAUUUUGUUAUCAAAAUAAAAAAUCAAUUAUUUUGCUGGGGCAGUAAAUAAAAAAUUUUUUAUUUUUUCAUUGUGAUUUAUUCAUCUUGUACAAACUAAAAAUUUUAAAAAAAUAAUAAGUUACUGUAGGGAUAACAGCAUAAUUUUUUUUAAGAGAUCUUAUUAUCAAAAAAGUUUGUGACCUCGAUGUUGGAUUAAGAAUCCUAAUUUAUGCAAUAGUUAAUUAAGG